Molecule: ribosomal RNA, 876 nt
Filed under: uncultured archaeon
Lineage: Archaea
Description: bacterial SSU rRNA
Rfam family: Archaeal small subunit ribosomal RNA
Source: RNAcentral
UKGGUUGAUCCUGCCAGAGGCUACUGCUAUCGGGGUCCGACUAAGCCCAUGCGAGUUGAGAGGGGGUAAGCCCYUCAGCAUAUUGCUCAGUAACACGCGGAUAACCUGCCCUUGGAUCUGGGAUAACCCCGGGAAAACUGGGACUAAUACCGGAUAGAUCAAAAGAUACUGGAAUGUUCUCUGGUCUAAAGCUCCGGCGUCCAAGGAUGGGUCUGCGGCCUAUCAGGUAGUAGUGGGUGUAACGUACCUACUAGCCUACGACGGGUAAGGGUUGUGAGAGCAAGAGCCCUGAGAUGGAUUCUGAGACAUGAAUCCAGGCCCUACGGGGUGCAGCAGGCGCGAAAACUUUACAAUGCGGGAAACCGCGAUAAGGGGACCCCGAGUGCCAGCACCUAGUGCUGGCUGUCCAUCUGUCCAAAUAACAGUUGUUAGCAAGGGCCGGGCAAGACCGGUGCCAGCCGCCGCGGUAACACCGGCGGCCCGAGUGGUAGCCGUUAUUAUUGGGUUUAAAGGGUCCGUAGCCGGCCUAUUAAGUCUCUUGGGAAAUCUGGCGGCUCAAUCGUCAGUCGUCCAAGAGAUACUGGUAUGCUUGGGACCGGGAGAGGUGGGAGGUACUCCAGGGGUAGGGGUGAAAUCUCGUAAUCCUUGGGGGACCACCGAUGGCGAAGGCAUCCCACCAGAACGGGUCCGACGGUGAGGGACGAAAGCUGGGGGCACGAACCGGAUUAGAUACCCGGGUAGUCCCAGCCGUAAACGAUGCUCGCUAGGUGUCAGGUGCGGUGCGACCGCAUCUGGUGCCGCAGUGAAAACUUGAAGCGAGUCACCUGGGAAGUACGGUCGCAAGGCUGAAACUUAAAGGAAUUGGCGGGGGAGCAC